RNAcentral lists this transfer RNA (73 nucleotides) under Planctomycetota bacterium. RNAcentral's name for it is "tRNA-Arg". It matches the Rfam family "tRNA". Rfam says of the family: Transfer RNA (tRNA) molecules are approximately 80 nucleotides in length. RNAcentral also lists the same sequence under 1 other name. The record is from RNAcentral. Lineage: Bacteria; Pseudomonadati; Planctomycetota.
GCGCCCGUAGCUCAGGGGAUAGAGCAUCGGUUUCCUAAACCGAGGGUCGUAGGUUCGAAUCCUACCGGGCGCA